This 1346-nucleotide ribosomal RNA is filed under the name uncultured bacterium. RNAcentral's name for it is "bacterial SSU rRNA". It matches the Rfam family "Bacterial small subunit ribosomal RNA", at positions 28 to 1381 of the family's 1533-position model. The record is from RNAcentral.
GACGAACGCUGGCGGCGUGCUUAACACAUGCAAGUCGAACGGAAAGGCCCUGCUUUUGUGGGGUGCUCGAGUGGCGAACGGGUGAGUAACACGUGAGUAACCUGCCCUUGACUUUGGGAUAACUUCAGGAAACUGGGGCUAAUACCGGAUAGGAGCUCCUGCUGCAUGGUGGGGGUUGGAAAGUUUCGGCGGUUGGGGAUGGACUCGCGGCUUAUCAGCUUGUUGGUGGGGUAGUGGCUUACCAAGGCUUUGACGGGUAGCCGGCCUGAGAGGGUGACCGGCCACAUUGGGACUGAGAUACGGCCCAGACUCCUACGGGAGGCAGCAGUGGGGAAUAUUGCACAAUGGGCGGAAGCCUGAUGCAGCAACGCCGCGUGCGGGAUGACGGCCUUCGGGUUGUAAACCGCUUUCGCCUGUGACGAAGCGUGAGUGACAGUAAUGGGUAAAGAAGCACCGGCUAACUACGUGCCAGCAGCCGCGGUGAUACGUAGGGUGCGAGCGUUGUCCGGAUUUAUUGGGCGUAAAGGGCUCGUAGGUGGUUGAUCGCGUCGGAAGUGUAAUCUUGGGGCUUAACCCUGAGCGUGCUUUCGAUACGGGUUGACUUGAGGAAGGUAGGGGAGAAUGGAAUUCCUGGUGGAGCGGUGGAAUGCGCAGAUAUCAGGAGGAACACCAGUGGCGAAGGCGGUUCUCUGGGCCUUUCCUGACGCUGAGGAGCGAAAGCGUGGGGAGCGAACAGGCUUAGAUACCCUGGUAGUCCACGCUGUAAACGGUGGGUACUAGGUGUGGGGUCCAUUCCACGGGUUCCGUGCCGUAGCUAACGCUUUAAGUACCCCGCCUGGGGAGUACGGCCGCAAGGCUAAAACUCAAAGGAAUUGACGGGGCCCCGCACAAGCGGCGGAGCAUGCGGAUUAAUUCGAUGCAACGCGUAGAACCUUACCUGGGUUUGACAUGGAUCGGGAGCGCUCAGAGAUGGGUGUGCCUCUUUUGGGGUCGGUUCACAGGUGGUGCAUGGCUGUCGUCAGCUCGUGUCGUGAGAUGUUGGGUUAAGUCCCGCAACGAGCGCAACCCUUGUUCACUGUUGCCAGCACGUUAUGGUGGGGACUCAGUGGAGACCGCCGGGGUCAACUCGGAGGAAGGUGGGGAUGACGUCAAGUCAUCAUGCCCCUUAUGUCCAGGGCUUCACGCAUGCUACAAUGGCUGGUACAGAGAGUGGCGAGCCUGUGAGGGUGAGCGAAUCUCGGAAAGCCGGUCUCAGUUCGGAUUGGGGUCUGCAACUCGACCUCAUGAAGUCGGAGUCGCUAGUAAUCGCAGAUCAGCAACGCUGCGGUGAAUACGUUCCCGGGGCU